This 110-nucleotide non-coding RNA is filed under the name Methanobacteriota archaeon. RNAcentral describes it as "Euryarchaeota archaeon TPP sequence". It matches the Rfam family "TPP riboswitch aptamer (THI element)". Rfam says of the family: Vitamin B(1) in its active form thiamin pyrophosphate (TPP) is an essential coenzyme that is synthesised by coupling of pyrimidine and thiazole moieties in bacteria. The previously detected thiamin-regulatory element, thi box was extended, resulting in a new, highly conserved RNA secondary structure, the THI element, which is widely distributed in eubacteria and also occurs in some archaea. Lineage: Archaea; Methanobacteriati; Methanobacteriota. The record is from RNAcentral.
UCGUGUCUCCCGGGGAGCCCCAGAGGGGCUGAGAGUAUCCCGAGUGAGGGAUAGACCCUUGGAACCUGAUCCGGGUCAUGCCGGCGUAGGGAACGAGCGGACCUUUUCAG